RNAcentral lists this ribosomal RNA (497 nucleotides) under Bacillaceae bacterium CL2.33. Its description in RNAcentral is "bacterial SSU rRNA". It matches the Rfam family "Bacterial small subunit ribosomal RNA", at positions 18 to 497 of the family's 1533-position model. Lineage: Bacteria; Bacillati; Bacillota; Bacilli; Caryophanales; Bacillaceae. The record is from RNAcentral.
CCUGGCUCAGGACGAACGCCGGCGGCGUGCCUAAUACAUGCAAGUCGAGCGAAUCGAUGGGAGCUUGCUCCCUGAGAUUAGCGGCGGACGGGUGAGUAACACGUGGGCAACCUGCCUAUAAGACUGGGAUAACUUCGGGAAACCGGAGCUAAUACCGGAUACGUUCUUUUCUCGCCUGAGAGAAGAUGGAAAGACGGCCUCUAGCUGUCACUUAUAGAUGGGCCCGCGGCGCAUUAGCUAGUUGGUGAGGUAAUGGCUCACCAAGGCGACGAUGCGUAGCCGACCUGAGAGGGUGAUCGGCCACACUGGGACUGAGACACGGCCCAGACUCCUACGGGAGGCAGCAGUAGGGAAUCUUCCGCAAUGGACGAAAGUCUGACGGAGCAACGCCGCGUGAACGAAGAAGGCCUUCGGGUCGUAAAGUUCUGUUGUUAGGGAAGAACAAGUACCAGAGUAACUGCUGGUACCUUGACGGUACCUAACCAGAAAGCCACGGC